RNAcentral lists this ribosomal RNA (492 nucleotides) under uncultured bacterium. RNAcentral's name for it is "partial 16S ribosomal RNA". It matches the Rfam family "Bacterial small subunit ribosomal RNA", at positions 29 to 507 of the family's 1533-position model. The record is from RNAcentral.
AGUGAACGCUGGCGGUAGGCCUAACACAUGCAAGUCGAACGGCAGCACAGUAAGAGCUUGCUCUUACGGGUGGCGAGUGGCGGACGGGUGAGGAAUACAUCGGAAUCUACUUUUUCGUGGGGGAUAACGUAGGGAAACUUACGCUAAUACCGCAUACGACCUACGGGUGAAAGCAGGGGAUCUUCGGACCUUGCGCGAUUGAAUGAGCCGAUGUCGGAUUAGCUAGUUGGCGGGGUAAAGGCCCACCAAGGCGACGAUCCGUAGCUGGUCUGAGAGGAUGUUCAGCCAGACUAGAACUGAGACACGGUCCAGAAUCCGACGGGAGGCAGCAGUGGCGAAUAUUUGACAAUGGGCGCAAGCCUGAUCCAGCCAUACCGCGUGGGUGAAGAAGGCCUUCGGGUUGUAAAGCCCUUUUGUUGGGAAAGAAAAGCAGCAGGUUAAUACCCCGCUGUUCUGACGGUACCCAAAGAAUAAGCACCGGCUAACUUCGUG